UCCGAGUUGACCCCGGCAGUCUCCUACGAGUCCCCGGCAUAACCCGCUGGCAACUAAUGACAAGGGUUGCGCUCGUUGCGGGACUUAACCCAACAUCUCACGACACGAGCUGACGACAGCCAUGCAACACCUGUGUCCAGGUUCCCUUUCGGGCACCGCUGCAUUUCUGCAGCGUUCCUGGCAUGUCAAGGGUAGGUAAGGUUUUUCGCGUUGCAUCGAAUUAAACCACAUCAUCCACCGCUUGUGCGGGCCCCCGUCAAUUCCUUCGAGUUUUAGCCUUGCGGCCGUACUCCCCAGGCGGGGCACUUAAUGCGUUAGCUACGGCACGGAUCCCGUUGGUUGAGACCCACACCUAGUGCCCAACGUUUACGGCGUGGACUAC
This 382-nucleotide unclassified non-coding RNA is filed under the name uncultured bacterium. RNAcentral's name for it is "contains 16S-23S intergenic spacer region". The record is from RNAcentral.